Molecule: transfer RNA, 95 nt
Filed under: Megaselia scalaris
Lineage: Eukaryota; Metazoa; Arthropoda; Insecta; Diptera; Phoridae
Rfam family: tRNA
About the family: Transfer RNA (tRNA) molecules are approximately 80 nucleotides in length. Their secondary structure includes four short double-helical elements and three loops (D, anti-codon, and T loops).
Source: Rfam by way of RNAcentral
CCUUCGAUAGCUCAGAUGGUAGAGCGGUGGACUGUAGAUAGUGUAAGUUGAAUGUAGAAAUCCAUAAGUCGCUGGUUCAAAUCCGGCUCGAACGA